UAUUUUAGACAAGAGUACUACAAAACCAAUCAAUCAGAAUAAAAUACAAUGUUUGUGUGUCAUUUGUUUCUUGCCAAUAUAUUUUCCUUUGGAAUGCUUAUAACUAUUGUUAAAUAAAGAACAAAUGUGGCAGAAGACUGCUGACUAUAGCCACUUUCGUUUGAAAAGUGUUGAAAGUCUUUUAUGGCAAGUCUUUUUCCUUUUUAUAACAUCAUACAGUUUGUCAUAUGCUACACCCCUCCCGACGGUAAGACUUGUAUAGCACAAUCAGAGACCUGACAGGGCUUGUCUAUACUUGGCCCCUUGUUACCUUUCUGGGGUGCAUCCAUUGUGAAUAUUGUGUUUAAAUUCACUGUAUUGCUAUAUGAUCAGCUUACACUCCUGUGUUAAUUUCAACUCACCAUGGUUACAGCCUGAUUAGCUCUAUCUACCUUCACUGGGUAAGCCUCGUUUUGCUAUUUUAUUUAAAUGGUUAUGCAUGUCAUUUUAGAACUUAGCAUCUUAUUGCUAUAUAUUUAUCCAUAGAUUUUUAGCUGCAAUCUGCAUUGGCUAUAUACUACUAUGGUGCAGAUGGAACUUUUUCACUGGAUGCCAGUACAAGUUUAUUCUUUUAACCAUUAACCCCUCACCAGUUCAGACUCCGGGUUACUGUUACCCCUAAUCUCAACUGAUGCUCCUCUAGCACAUUUAUAACAAAAAGUCCUUUGAAGAAGCGCCAUAUCUCAGCGCGAAACAUGUCAGGCCACAGCGAUUCCUUUGUCAUCGUUUAGACCUUCAGUCUAUGCAGUCUUCGGUCCUUCCUCAGGAACUUUUACAAUCUAUAAGUGGUUGGAGGUUCUUUGUUUGUCUUUAUCAACAGUAUAUCUCAAUAACCAGUUGAAAUUCUUUUUUAUGUAAUUAUGUUUAAUUACCAAUUCCUGAUGGUUCUCACUGAAUACUGUAACGCUGUGUAAUUUUGUUUUUGAGCAAAUUCAAUCAUAUGGAGAUUUUCUUAAAGUGUUUAAUAAUACCUUGUGUAAUAAAUAUAUUUUUUUAGCAAACAUUUCCCCCUGUUUGUGGUGACUACUAUCUUUACCAGUUUACAGUGCCCUCAAAGUCCAUGACUUGCCCCUAGGUCAUUUUUUCCAUUUUGGACAAUUGAUAUUUUGAUUUACCCUGUUGAUUGUGGAAUCCACUUUGUUCUCAAUGGUUUCAAUGCAAGAGCCCAGCAUCUAGAGAUCCAUUUUAAUGUCAGUAGUGAUUCUGGCUGCAGUCUGUGCUAACCCCCUAUCCAACAUUUCAGCAAAUCUGGAAAACAUGAGGGUGAUGUCCUGGUGGUGGGAGGUGUAAGGCUCAUUGGCCUGGUAUGUCACAGACUGCCCAGGGGAUGCUGCAGCUGAGAGGGACAUCAGUAUCUUGUCCAGAGUUUGAUUUAACAGGGACACUGUGGUGGCUGGAGAUAAGGGUCCCUCAGUGGAAGUGAUGGUUGGUGCUCUGCCACAUACCUCCUCCUGAAGAGCAUCCCAUCAUGAAGAGGAUGGAGAGGCCCCUGAGAUGAGCGGCCAUGUAGCGGCCAUUCCACCGCCAUCUUAGAAGCUGCUGAGGCGGCUCGAGGCGGCUCUAAAUUGUGCUUUCAGGCAACUUUACACCAUCCCCACUGACAUGGCAGUGUGCCCGCAGGUUUCCCCUGUAUUCUGGUGCCAUUUGAACUGCUCCUGGGUUAUGUUGCUCCGUGCAGGAAGCGUCAAGCGAGCAGAGCGGGACGAAGCUCCCAGAUCAAACGGCCAUCUCGGUCGGCUCUGUGCAUGCGCCUCCUUUUUGUUUUUAUGUUUUAUUUUCCCUCAGUUUAGUAUAUUAUCGUUGCCUUUGGUCCCUUGACUUGAUAAAGCACAUGCGCGUGAAACACAUCAUCAAGGCAGCCAGGUCAAACAUGUUAUCCUUUAAUACAUUCAUGACUUUUAUGUUUAACAUGAUUUAAUAAAUUACUUUGUAUCACUGUCAGUGGCAUCUUACAAUUGACUCCUUGUGGAACUCCAAUGAAUGUAUCACUCAGAGCUGUUAAUUUGGUACUUUUGUUUUAUUACCCUCAUUGUGCCGAGUGACUCUUACAGCAGCUGGGACCAUCGGGUGUCUCUCCUCUCUUUUAUAUAUUUGUGAUAUAAGGAUAUUUAGGACUUAAAAAAAAAAAUUAUACUAAAAACACCUCCAGUCAGCAACUGGAGAUAACUUAUAAAAACUCAGAAUGACUCUUUUACUGGCCUACGACAGAUUACUAGCUUGACUGUUUAAAGUUUGUGAUACAUACUAUAUCACUGUAGCAAUUGUAUUUUUCUCACAUUUUGUAAUCAUUAUUUUCUUUUAUUGUUUUUAUUGCAAACUAAAAUAAUUGAGGUGAUAUAAAUACUAGAUAUGCCAUGAACCAAUAUUUGUAAUACUAAUCUAUAAAGAAAACCUGCAACGUUAAGCCAGUUCAAACACAAUUACCUUCUAGCUAACCAAAUGUUCUUUAGGUUAGUGGUGGUUGCUUUUGCACCAUGUACUAUGUAAUGCUAUGCAGCAGCAUUUAUGUGAAUUCCCUUAUUUGCAACAGAUUGUUAUUCCCCUAGGUCUCAACAUGCUCUGUAAUAAAUUAUAAGAAACAAGCAUAAUAGGAACAGCACCACACAAGUUGAUCCUUGCAAGUUCUAAAUCGUUUGGCUGUAAUGAGCGCAGGAUGUCAGAUUCAAGAUACCUUUAUUUGCUUUGUUUUAUAUUCUGCGCAAUAUCCUACAUUAAAGUUAUCAAGGGACAUGUUUUUGCUACAGUUUAAUGCAGUCAUGUACUCAGUCUCAACUUUCUUUAAGACCUACAAAAAAAGAUAGAAAAGUAAAAAUGUUGUUCACCACUUUGUAGUGUGAAAGCUUUACAUUUCCCUUGUAGUUAGUUUAUCUUUGU
Rana temporaria (common frog) is the source of this 2913-nucleotide long non-coding RNA. RefSeq lists it as uncharacterized. The record is from RefSeq and is a predicted model, not a curated record. NCBI's taxonomy places the organism in Eukaryota, Metazoa, Chordata, Amphibia, Anura, Ranidae. The transcript has 4 exons.